ACUCCUACGGGAGGCAGCAGUGGGAGUAUUGCAUCAAUGGGAACGGACUGNAGCCAUGCCGCGUGUGUGAAGAAGGCCUUCGGGUUGUAAAGCACUUUCAGUAGGGAGGAAGGUAGUGUAGUUAACACCUGCACUAUUUGACGUUACCUACAGAAGAAGCACCGGCUAACUCCGUGCCAGCAGCCGCGGUAAUACGGAGGGUGCGAGCGUUAAUCGGAAUUACUGGGCGUAAAGCGCAUGCAGGCGGCCUGUUAAGUCAGAUGUGAAAGCCGGGCUAGCUACGAUGAGCAUUUGAACUGGCAGACUAGAGUACUGUAGAGGGNGGAGAAUUUCAGGUGUAGCGGUGAAAUGCGUAGAGAUCUGAAGGAAUACCGGUGGCGAAGGCGGCCC
RNAcentral lists this ribosomal RNA (390 nucleotides) under uncultured bacterium. RNAcentral describes it as "bacterial SSU rRNA". It matches the Rfam family "Bacterial small subunit ribosomal RNA", at positions 335 to 727 of the family's 1533-position model. The record is from RNAcentral.